CGAGGGGCGAGGCCGAGCGCGGGCUGGGGCGCGGGCGGCACGGGGACCCAGACGCCGAGCGAAUCUCCCAAUCAGCCGAACCGACCGCUCGGGACGCUCCUGGAUUCCGUUUGCGUGUUCGAGAAAAGGAAAGUUGCCUCCGUUUGACAAAGACUAAGUACAACUCUGUUGGCAAGAGAUAUUUGGAAAUGUAGUUUUCAGGCAUCCAGGCCUUACAGUUCAACAGAGAAGAAAGGAGGGUGAAAUGUGGCUGAGUAUGUACAGUACCCAAAACCACACAGUAAAUAAAAAAUCUGGUCCAGUGGCUGUCACUGUUACCAUCUUCUCUGAGCCUGAAAUCAAAUGUCAGUAUCUACCAAAGGAGGAGAAGAAUGUAAAAACUGGGAGUUUCCCUGGAGCUGGAAAUUAAGGAUGUGUAUUCCUGCCUUUUGCAUUCGUUAGUUGUACAGCCUCUGUGCCGUAUACAGAAUGGUGAGAAGAUUCACCUGCGAUACCUGAAUGUCAGAGGCGUUUCUUUCCACGGUCCGAAUGUUUGAACAUGUUAUUUUGUAUCACCUUUUGGUCAAUGAUAUUUGAAGAAGAUUCAUUGUUUGGCUUAUCUUUGUUUGCUGAGAUUUGUCACAAUU
This 626-nucleotide long non-coding RNA is filed under the name Equus caballus (horse). Its description in RNAcentral is "lncRNA (ENSECAG00000055738.1)". Lineage: Eukaryota; Metazoa; Chordata; Mammalia; Perissodactyla; Equidae. The record is from RNAcentral.